Molecule: long non-coding RNA, 1262 nt
Filed under: Homo sapiens (human)
Lineage: Eukaryota; Metazoa; Chordata; Mammalia; Primates; Hominidae
Description: HSALNT0287134
Source: RNAcentral
CUAACUCUGAUACACACCAAGUUUCCUUAUAUGUGUCGCUGAUGAAUUUUCUUUGUAAAGUAUAAAACUGCGACAUUAACAUAUUGAGCUGCUUUAUUAUAGGGAGUUCUUAAAAGGUCUGUGUGGGCCAAGAGUGAGAAAUUGAAACACUUCCAUACAAUCCUCUGGAUCUGUCUUUUGAUAUUCACCCUCUGGUUUCAAGAUAUCUGUCAAGUUAAUAGAAGACGGCAUUGUAAGAUGAUGAGAACCAAUUUCAAGGCCUCAUUCCCUUCUACACACGUUGCAACCCCAACCCCUGAUACCCUGAUCACAGCCACCAACAGAAGGAAGAGGAAAAAAGGAGUUAUCUGGUCACACGGGUAGAAGUGAAUUAAGAAGUCGAUAGGCAUUACUAUGUAUAAGUGAGAACUAAUUGAAUCAAGAAAUUGAUGACACCUGAUAUAAUGGCUGAAGGUAAAACAAAGCCAUCCAUUCUAGUUGCUGCAUCCUGAAGAUUCCAAGCUCCAGGUGAGGGCAUCCAAGCUCUUCCAUGACUCAUUAAGCAUACUCGACUUGUUCAUAUGGGAAGUUCAUCCAUGCAUGCAGAAGAAAAAACAACUAACAGCAGGGUUUUCAGUACUCAGCAGGGUAAAAAGUUGUUAUAUUUGUGCUGCCAAAGCUUUUCUGGUUGUUGUUUACUCAGUUUGGAAUUUUUAGUUACCCUUGUACAUGAAAAAAAGAAACUAAAAAGCCCUGUGGAUUUCAAGCUAUGGUGGAGUGUUCCACAGGGAAGUCUCAAGUACAUGCUUGAUUGAUUGUCAUUGUCUUUAGUACUAUUUGUUUUUCUUUAAAAUUUUAAUUAUUAUGAAUAUAUAAUAAUUAUACACACUUAUGGAGUACAGGUGAUAUUCAUACAAUGAUCUCAUGAAAGAUACCUCCUCACGCCUUAGGAGAGCCAAUACUGUCAAUACCAAUACCUCCUAAAGCUGUAUUUUUUCUUUAAUUUCUCUUAAGUUCUAAUAAGGCAAAUACUCGAAGUCUAGUUCAUAUCUGAAUGGAGAGCUGUGUAAAGAGCAUACAAAUCCUACAGAAUAAUGAUUUUCUAACUUACUGGCAUAUUGAAAUAAGUUGUGUCAGAGGCAUUUCAACCAGAGCAACUCCAUCUUGGGUAGGGGCUGAGUGAAAUAAGGCUGAGACCUGCUGGGCUGCAUUCCCAGUAGGUCACACAUUCUUCUCUUUUUCUUUUUUGAGAUGGAGUUUCACUCUUGUUACCUAGGCUGGAG